AAAGCUCUGACACAAUUGCAUGAUUUUGACAACAAUAAAUCUUGUCAUACUAUAGAUCGAUAACACAAUAUUAAGAAUGUAAUUUAUCUUAAUCCAACAACAAUAAUGUAAUUUAAACUUUGAACUUUAAGAUAGUACUCACCGAAAUUGUCAAUGCAAAUGUCAAAAUUUUAAACGUUAGAGCUUUUUAUUAAAAUUUAAGUAUUUGAAAUGGCACCGACAAUAAAACAACAACUAGAAGAACAGAAACCCCUACAUGUGGAGUACGAUCUUUCCAUGAUAUCUUUAUUAGGAGCAACGGUUGGACUAACUCUAUUUUUGGUUUGCUGCUGCUGUGGACCUGGAGGAAAUCGAAGACCCAACUAAAAAUUAUAUGUUUUGAUAUGAAUAAUAAUUGAUGAGUAAUUUAGUUAA
Molecule: long non-coding RNA, 414 nt
Organism: Diorhabda carinulata
Lineage: Eukaryota; Metazoa; Arthropoda; Insecta; Coleoptera; Chrysomelidae
Exons: 2
Source: RefSeq, a predicted model, not a curated record